Molecule: ribosomal RNA, 496 nt
Filed under: uncultured bacterium
Lineage: Bacteria
Description: partial 16S ribosomal RNA
Rfam family: Bacterial small subunit ribosomal RNA
Source: RNAcentral
AUGAACGCUGGCGGCGUGCCUAUUACUUCAAAGCCAGGGGAACAAAGGGGGGCUUUGCUCCUUUGAGUUUAGCGGCGGCGGGGGAAGAACCACUUGGAUACCCUCCCUAUAAGACGGGGAUAACUCCGGGAAACGGGAGCUAAUACGGGAAAAUAUAUUAAACGGCAGGGUUCAAUGUUGAAAGCGGGUUUUGUGGUCACUUUAAGAUGGAUCCGCGCCGCAUUAGCUAGUUGGUAAGGUAACGGCUUACCAAGGCGACGAUGCGUAGCCGACCUGAGAGGGUGAUCGGCCACACUGGAACUGAGACACGGUCCAGACUCCUACGGGAGGCAGCAGUAGGGAAUCUUCCGCAAUGGGCGAAAGCUUGACGGAGCAACGCCGCGUGAGUGAUGAAGGUCUUCGGAUCGUAAAACUCUGUUAUUAGGGAAGAACAAAUGUGUAAGUAACUAUGCACGUCUUGACGGUACCUAAUCAGAAAGCCACGGCUAACUACGUG